UUUAGUUCAGUCAUGGAAAAAUGCCUGAAACAUUUGGAGACUGUUGUUGAAGCAAUUCAGAAAGCUCCCUUAAAGAGCAUGUACUUUAGACAACUUGUAAGUGUAUUCUCAAUAUCUUUAAAAGGUAAGACUUUGAAGAAUUAUAUUACCAUAUAGUAUGCCCCCACCCCAUACCACCUGAAGAAACUGUGUCAGUCUAUCAUCACAGG
Molecule: long non-coding RNA, 209 nt
Organism: Neofelis nebulosa (Clouded leopard)
Lineage: Eukaryota; Metazoa; Chordata; Mammalia; Carnivora; Felidae
Exons: 3
Source: RefSeq, a predicted model, not a curated record